UUCUUCCUGCCUUGUGCGAUAAGCAUAGCACGUAUAACCCAACACUCUUUUUAAGGGAGCCCGGUCUCCGGCGGGGGACUGCAGACCUCCCGGCGGGGUUCCCGCCGGACGAAGGGAGCGCGAAACCGCAGGGCGGGCACCCACCUGGCAGCUUAGUUGGCAGGUUAUAAGAGGCUAUGUCCGGCUUGGCGGGAAUUUU
RNAcentral lists this non-coding RNA (199 nucleotides) under Clostridium sp. RNAcentral describes it as "6S RNA". It matches the Rfam family "6S / SsrS RNA". From Rfam's summary of the family: E. coli 6S RNA was the first non coding RNA to be sequenced, but its function was unknown until recently. It consists of 184 nucleotides that fold into an extended hairpin structure with a large single-stranded internal bulge. Lineage: Bacteria; Bacillati; Bacillota; Clostridia; Eubacteriales; Clostridiaceae. The record is from RNAcentral.